ACACUGACGUCGCGACGCAUAUCAAUAAGCGGAGGAAAAGCGUCUACCUACGCUUAGGAUGUUGAGUAGCGACAUACGCACGUGCUCGGCCUCUAUACAUGACUCUGUGCAUAUCAAUAAGCGGAGGAAAAGAAACUAACAAGGAUUCCCCUAGUAACGGCGAGUGAAGCGGGAAGAGCUCAACAUAAAAUUUGAAAUCUUAAAGGUUUUACCUUGACGAAUUGUAGUUUAAAGAAGUGUUUUCUGUUGGAGUUUUGGUAAAAGUUCUUUGAAAUAGGACAUCAUAGAGGGUGAGAAUCCCGUAUUUGACCAUUAUUUCCAGCUGUGUGAUACACUUUCAAAGAGUCGGAUUGUUUGGGAAUGCAGUCCAAAAUGGGUGGUAAAUUUCAUCUAAAGCUAAAUAUUGGCGAGAGACCGAUAGCGAACAAGUACCGUGAGGGAAAGAUGAAAAGAACUUUGAAAAGAGAGUUAAACAGUACGUGAAAUUGUCAAAAGGGAAGCGUUUGACACCAGUGUUGUUUUCUCGAAAAUCAAUUAAAAAUGGUGGGAUGUUGUGUUGUAUUGACUUUAUCAGCUUUCUGCACUUUUUUCCUAUCUUUUUUAAUGCACUUUUCGUUUAACAAGUCAACAUCAAUUUCUUUUGUUGUAAAAGAGUCAUUGGAAGGUGGCUUUCUUUUCGGAAAAAGUGUUUAUAGCCUUUGGCUUCUGCAAUCGGAGAGAUUGAGGUCUGCAGCGUAGAUCCUUCGGGGUUAGAUACGUUUGUGCUAAGUUAUAGCUUUGUAUAGACAACAUGUUGACUAUGCUUAGUCUUGUAGCUUACUCGCAGAUAGUAUUUUACCUACGCUUAGGAUGUUGAGUAGCGACAUACGCAC
Molecule: ribosomal RNA, 872 nt
Filed under: uncultured Neocallimastigales
Lineage: Eukaryota; Fungi; Neocallimastigomycota; Neocallimastigomycetes; Neocallimastigales
Description: partial large subunit ribosomal RNA
Rfam family: Eukaryotic large subunit ribosomal RNA
Source: RNAcentral